RNAcentral lists this unclassified non-coding RNA (1711 nucleotides) under Leishmania donovani. RNAcentral describes it as "gene:LdHU3.20.0030(CDS-product:WD_domain_G-beta_r epeat_putative)". The record is from RNAcentral. Lineage: Eukaryota; Euglenozoa; Kinetoplastea; Trypanosomatida; Trypanosomatidae.
UCCUACAACAUGCGUGUGUCGGUACAGCACAGAAGAGGAGACCCGACGAUUGCUUGCCUGGUAGUGUCUGCGUCAUGCUGUUUCUUGCGCGAGAUGGUAUGCGCGGCCACUUGGUCGAUAUCGAGACGCAGACAGUGCUGCGCAAUUACGCGAUAGGAGAGGUGGCGAAAAACGCUUUAGCUUACUCUCCCAUCAGUCAAGCCGUCAUAGCGCACCAAACGCGCAACUGUGCUCUUUUCCUCUCUGCGGCAACGCAGCAGCCACUCCAGCGCAGCUUCACGCCGGAGCUCGUCACAAGCUGCGCCGUCACUCGGUGCGGCACCUUCAUGGUGGCGGGCACAGCGAACGGCACCGUUCUCCUGUGGAACAUGCAGUCUGGCGACCUCAUCAAGAGCUACAAGGGCCACCUGCGCGCGGUACACUGUGCCGCGAUCUCAGCUGACGACUCGCUCGUCGCGACGGUGUCUGAGGACUCGGUGUGCAAGGUAUGGAAUCUAGCGACACUGGCCUCGCUUCGAAUGCGCGAGGUCGUGCCUCGGUGCAUCUUCAACGGCCACUCACUCGCGGCCACCUGCUGCACUUUCCUCCACCACUCGAAUGUGCUUCUCACCGGCUCCAGCGACCGCACCUGCCGUCUCGUGGACACCCACACAGGGGAGCAGCUCCGCACCGUCACUGUCGGGGAUGCCGUCACCGCGGUCGCCGUGAGCCUUGACGACGCCUCGAUUGUUGCUGGCACGCAAAAGGGAUUCUUGUUCUUCAGCGAGCUUUACGAGCCAUCUCUCGGGCUUGCCAUCGAAUCAGAACAUGAUGGUGAUCAGCGAGAGGCGAUCCUCCGACCACCCAGCGCGGAUGGCCACCACUCUCCGGUUAUCUUUUUGCGGUGUCUGCCCUCCACACCGUCGCUUGUGCUCACCGCCAGCGAGGGUGGCGCCGUUCUGUGGUUCGAUAUCCGAAACGGGCGGCUCGUGAAAGAGUGCAUCAGCCCCCAAAAGGGGCGGCUGCUCGGCUGCUGCGUGGUACCGCAAGCUGCCCUGCUCGUGAAGGGGAUAUGCGCGCCGCUGCAGAAGCACCCUGUCGAUCCCUCACGAGGCAACUAUCGCAUCACACAGUGCGCUCUCACGACGUUCCAAGACAGGCGCGGCGUGAAGCGGGACCGAGUUGGCGAAGAUGACGUGCAACUUGGGCCCGAUGAGGAGGCAGAUGCGAAUGCUCUCGAAGAGGUUCGUGCAAAGGUAGUGGAGCUGCGCGACCUUCGCGCGCAGCUCCAACGCCGACUGCGCAAGCUCUCUGAAGCAAAAAGCUUAAGGUAAGGCAUAUGAUCAGCCUGUGAUCGGCGCCUGUCGCCACCAUUCCGUCACACGGACAGAAUGCCCUCUGUUGUCGGCGUGCGGUUACCGGCCGGCCUUCUUCCUUUUUUUGUACUUGCGCUUUGCGGACAAGGCCGUUGUUUUACACCUUGCCGCUAAAACUCGUGUAGCGCAGAUAAAAGACCUUUGGCUCGCUGCUGAGCAGACGCGAUCCGGCAAAAAGGAAAGAAGCGCAGAAACUCCCAUGUGGGAAGCCGCGGUCUCCACAACAGCCGUCGAAGGACGGGGUUCCCCUUCAGCGGUGCUCGAACUGCCGUGCACGAACUCAGCCUGCCGUUCCCCAGUGGUUCGGCGCUUGUACGCCACAAUGCGACUGGGAAUCCUAUCCAGAGGUACAAAAC